RNAcentral lists this ribosomal RNA (493 nucleotides) under uncultured bacterium. RNAcentral describes it as "SSU rRNA". It matches the Rfam family "Bacterial small subunit ribosomal RNA", at positions 26 to 517 of the family's 1533-position model. The record is from RNAcentral.
AGAUUGAACGCUGGCGGCAUGCCUUACACAUGCAAGUCGAACGGCAGCACGGGGGCAACCCUGGUGGCGAGUGGCGAACGGGUGAGUAAUACAUCGGAACGUGUCCUGUAGUGGGGGAUAGCUCGGCGAAAGCCGGAUUAAUACCGCAUACGCUCUACGGAGGAGAGCGGGGGAUCUUCGGACCUCGCGCUAAAGGGGCGGCCGAUGGCAGAUUAGCUAGUUGGUGGGGUAAAGGCCUACCAAGGCGACGAUCUGUAGCUGGUCUGAGAGGACGACCAGCCACACUGGGACUGAGACACGGCCCAGACUCCUACGGGAGGCAGCAGUGGGGAAUUUUGGACAAUGGGGGCAACCCUGAUCCAGCAAUGCCGCGUGUGUGAAGAAGGCCUUCGGGUUGUAAGCACUUUGUCAGGGAAGAAAGGAUUCUACUAAUACUGGAGUCUGAUGACGGUACCUGAAGAAUAAGCACCGGCUAACUACGUGCCAGCAGCCG